Transfer RNA from Camelus ferus (Wild Bactrian camel), 72 nucleotides. It matches the Rfam family "tRNA". Rfam says of the family: Transfer RNA (tRNA) molecules are approximately 80 nucleotides in length. Their secondary structure includes four short double-helical elements and three loops (D, anti-codon, and T loops). Further hydrogen bonds mediate the characteristic L-shaped molecular structure. tRNAs have two regions of fundamental functional importance: the anti-codon, which is responsible for specific mRNA codon recognition, and the 3' end, to which the tRNAs corresponding amino acid is attached (by aminoacyl-tRNA synthetases). tRNAs cope with the degeneracy of the genetic code in two manners: having more than one tRNA (with a specific anti-codon) for a particular amino acid; and 'wobble' base-pairing, i.e. permitting non-standard base-pairing at the 3rd anti-codon position. NCBI's taxonomy places the organism in Eukaryota, Metazoa, Chordata, Mammalia, Artiodactyla, Camelidae. The record is from Rfam.
GAGGAUAUGGCUUAGUGGUAGAGCGUGUGUCCAGCAUGCAUGAGGUCCUGGGUUCGAUCCCCAGUACCUCCA